RNAcentral lists this ribosomal RNA (253 nucleotides) under uncultured bacterium. RNAcentral describes it as "partial 16S ribosomal RNA". It matches the Rfam family "Bacterial small subunit ribosomal RNA", at positions 524 to 776 of the family's 1533-position model. The record is from RNAcentral.
UACGAGGGGGGCAAGCGUUGUUCGGAUUUAUUGGGCGUAAAGGGUGCGUAGGCGGUUUGGCAAGUCUUGUGUGAAAUCUUCGGGCUCAACCCGAAGCCUGCAUAAGAAACUGCCGGGCUUGAGUAUUGGAGAGGUGAGUGGAAUUUCCGGUGUAGCGGUGAAAUGCGUAGAUAUCGGAAGGAACACCUGUGGCGAAAGCGGCUCACUGGACAAUAACUGACGCUGAGGCACGAAAGCUAGGGGAGCAAACAGG